UACGUAGGGUGCAAGCGUCAAUCGGAAUUACUGGGCGUAAAGCGUGCGCAGGCGGUUGUGCAAGACAGAUGUGAAAUCCCCGGGCUUAACCUGGGAACUGCAUUUGUGACUGCACGGCUAGAGUGUGUCAGAGGGGGGUAGAAUUCCACGUGUAGCAGUGAAAUGCGUAGAGAUGUGGAGGAAUACCGAUGGCGAAGGCAGCCCCCUGGGAUAACACUGACGCUCAUGCACGAAAGCGUGGGGAGCAAACAGG
This 253-nucleotide ribosomal RNA is filed under the name uncultured bacterium. Its description in RNAcentral is "partial 16S ribosomal RNA". It matches the Rfam family "Bacterial small subunit ribosomal RNA", at positions 524 to 776 of the family's 1533-position model. The record is from RNAcentral.